AUACGGAGGGUGCAAGCGUUAUCCGGAUUCAUUGGGUUUAAAGGGUGCGCAGGUGGGAAAAUAAGUCAGUGGUGAAAUACUGCCGCUUAACGGUAGAAUUGCCAUUGAUACUGUUUUUCUUGAGUAUGGUUGAGGUAGGUGGAAUGUGUUGUGUAGCGGUGAAAUGCAUAGAUAUGACACAGAACGCCGAUUGCGAAGGCAGCUUACUAAGCCAUUACUGACGCUGAGGCACGAAAGCGUGGGGAUC
Molecule: ribosomal RNA, 247 nt
Filed under: uncultured bacterium
Lineage: Bacteria
Description: partial 16S ribosomal RNA
Rfam family: Bacterial small subunit ribosomal RNA
Source: RNAcentral